UACGGGGGGGGCAAGCGUUGCUCGGAAUUACUGGGCGUAAAGGGCUCGUAGGCGGCCAACUAAGUCGGAUGUGAAAUCCCCAGGCUUAACCUGGGAACUGCAUCCGAUACUGGAUGGCUUGAAUCCGGGAGAGGGAUGCAGAAUUCCUGGUGUAGCGGUGAAAUGCGUAGAGAUCAGGAAGAACAUCGGUGGCGAAGGCGCUCUGCUGGACCAUAACUGACACUCAGGGACGAAAGCUAGGGGAGCGAAUGGG
This 253-nucleotide ribosomal RNA is filed under the name uncultured bacterium. Its description in RNAcentral is "partial 16S ribosomal RNA". It matches the Rfam family "Bacterial small subunit ribosomal RNA", at positions 524 to 776 of the family's 1533-position model. The record is from RNAcentral.